UACGUAGGGGGCAAGCGUUGUCCGGAAUUAUUGGGCGUAAAGAGCGCGUAGGCGGUCCGAUAAGUCGACUGUGAAAGUCUAGGGCUCAACCCUGGAAAGCCGGUCGAUACUGGCGGACUAGAGUCCGGAAGAGGCAAGUGGAAAUUCCCGGUGUAGCGGUGAAAUGCGCAGAUAUCGGGAGGAACACCUAUGGCGAAGGCAGCUCGCUGGGACGUUACUGACGCUGAGACGCGAAAGCGUGGGGAGCAAACAGG
Molecule: ribosomal RNA, 254 nt
Filed under: uncultured bacterium
Lineage: Bacteria
Description: partial 16S ribosomal RNA
Rfam family: Bacterial small subunit ribosomal RNA
Source: RNAcentral